GACGAACGCUGGCGGCGUGCUUAACACAUGCAAGUCGAACGGAAAGGCCCUGCUUUUGUGGGGUGCUCGAGUGGCGAACGGGUGAGUAACCCGUGAGUAACCUGCCCUUGACUUUGGGAUAACUUCAGGAAACUGGGGCUAAUACCGGAUAGGAGCUCCUGCUGCAUGGUGGGGGUUGGAAAGUUUCGGCGGUUGGGGAUGGACUCGCGGCUUAUCAGCUUGUUGGUGGGGUAGUGGCUUACCAAGGCUUUGACGGGUAGCCGGCCUGAGAGGGUGACCGGCCACAUUGGGACGGAGAUACGGCCCAGACGCCUACGGGAGGCAGCAGUGGGGAAUAUUGCACAAUGGGCGGAAGCCUGAUGCAGCAACGCCGCGUGCGGGAUGACGGCCUUCGGGUUGUAAACCGCUUUCGCCUGUGACGAAGCGUGAGUGACGGUAAUGGGUAAAGAAGCACCGGCUAACUACGUG
This 468-nucleotide ribosomal RNA is filed under the name uncultured bacterium. RNAcentral's name for it is "partial 16S ribosomal RNA". It matches the Rfam family "Bacterial small subunit ribosomal RNA", at positions 28 to 507 of the family's 1533-position model. The record is from RNAcentral.